This 465-nucleotide ribosomal RNA is filed under the name uncultured bacterium. Its description in RNAcentral is "partial 16S ribosomal RNA". It matches the Rfam family "Bacterial small subunit ribosomal RNA", at positions 338 to 795 of the family's 1533-position model. The record is from RNAcentral.
CCUACGGGGGACAGCAGUAGGGAAUCUUCCACAAUGGGCGAAAGCCUGAUGGAGCAACGCCGCGUGGGUGAAGAAGGUCUUCGGAUCGUAAAACCCUGUUGUUAGAGAAGAAAGUGCGUGAGAGUAACUGUUCACGUUUCGACGGUAUCUACCCAGAAAGCCACGGCUAACUACGUGCCAGCAGCCGCGGUAAUACGUAGGUGGCAAGCGUUAUCCGGAUUUAUUGGGCGUAAAGGGAACGCAGGCGGUCUUUUAAGUCUGAUGUGAAAGCCUUCGGCUUAACCGGAGUAGUGCAUUGGAAACUGGGAGACUGGAGUGCAGAAGAGGAGAGUGGAACUCCAUGUGUAGCGGUGAAAUGCGUAGAUAUAUGGAAGAACACCAGUGGCGAAAGCGGCUCUCUGGUCUGUAACUGACGCUGAGGUUCGAAAGCGUGGGUAGCAAACAGGAUUAGAUACCCGGGUAGUC